GAUGAACGCUAGCGGUGUGCUUAACACAUGCAAGUCGAGCGGCAAGGCCCUUCUCUUUUCGUGUCCGCGACCGGCGAACGGGUGAGUAACACGUGUGUAACCUGCCCUUAACUUUGGGAUAACUUCACGAAACUGGGGCUAAUACCGCAUAGAAGCUCCUGCUGCCUGGUGGGGGUUGGUUAGUUUCGGCGGUUGAGGAUGGGCUCGCGGGUUAUCUGCUUGUUUGUGGGGUAUUGGCUUACCACGGCUUUGACGGGUAGCCGGCCUGAGAGGGUGACCGAGCAAAUGAGGACUGAGAUACGGCCCGGAGUCGUACGGGAGGCAGCAGUAGGGAAUAUUGCACAAUGGGCGGAAGCCUGAUGCAGGAUGGCCGCGUGAGGGAUUGCGGCCUUCGGGUUGUAAGCCGCAUACUGCUGUGACGGAACUUGAGUGACGGUAAUGUGUAAAGAAGCACCGGCUAACUACGUG
Molecule: ribosomal RNA, 468 nt
Filed under: uncultured bacterium
Lineage: Bacteria
Description: partial 16S ribosomal RNA
Rfam family: Bacterial small subunit ribosomal RNA
Source: RNAcentral